Ipomoea triloba (trilobed morning glory) is the source of this 1343-nucleotide long non-coding RNA. RefSeq lists it as uncharacterized. The transcript is spliced from 3 exons. NCBI's taxonomy places the organism in Eukaryota, Viridiplantae, Streptophyta, Magnoliopsida, Solanales, Convolvulaceae. The record is from RefSeq and is a predicted model, not a curated record.
GCCAAGAUCCUUCCCUUGAUUUCUCACCUCUGCCUCUUGUCCCUCGCAGCCUCUCUCAUCUCUCCUUCCAUAUCUCUCUCGUCUCCCCAUCACCAGCAGCCUAGCAACGUUAAUGAUGGAUUCCGGAGGUGAAGCUCAACGGCGCGGCAACGUUCCUCUCUCCGGUCUUCAUCCUCCCUCGCGACUUAGCAGCAGCAACGUCUUCCUCUUCCUUGCGGCAUGUUGCAGCGGUGAUCGGCAUAGCCUCUUCGUCAACGAAAGCCAACAGCAGCGGAGCGGCGGUCUUCUCUCCCUCCCCCCUCCCAUCGUUGCGAGCAGAGUAGCAUGGUGGUGACUGGGCGGUGCUUGGCAGCGGGUGGCCUCAGCGGAGCGUCCUUCUCCAUUCGGCCAACAACAGCAGCGGGUUCCCCUGUUUCCUCCAGCGAGUGGAGCUUCCGGCUGUGCCUCUCCCUCCCUUCUCUCCGGUGGAGCUCUCUCAUCGUAGACAGCAAUUAGCAAAGGUAGGUUGGCGACGUGCAGAUGCGGCUAUGAACCUCUAUUUCUCCCCUUCGCAAUCGGCGGCGACGACGGCUGUGCAGAACGGUGGUAAUGGCGGCCUCCCUCUUCCUCGGCGAGGUAGCUUUUCCGUUCUCCUUCCCCUCCCUUCUUCGGCGUCAGUAGACGACGACGGCAAGGCUUGGCUAUGGACGGUAAUGGUGAUUCAUUGGCAACGGCUUCAUGGUAGAAAAAGAGGUUGGCUUCGCAUGGAUUAGCUAGAUUAAUUCUCAGGUUCAUGGUUGUGGACUUGCUUUUGAGAUUAGCCUAGGAUUGGUGUUGCUAUGGGAUUGAUAAGCUUAAGAGGUACUGGAAUGAGCUAUCGUGUAUUCUGUUCUAAGUCUGUGUUUUGUGCGUUGGUAUUACUCUUGCAGUGCGUCUCAGCGGUAUAAUGUGUCCCGCUGAGGUGGAAUGGCGGUGGAGGUUGGCGGAAGGGUGCAUUCCGUGAGUAUGUUCCGUCAGUACUAGUGGAGUGGUUUGGCGGUCUGGUGCAUUUCGCUAGAGUGUUCCGUCAGUUCAUUUCUCAUGUCUGUUCCAGUGGUUGUUUUGUGGUCCAAUGAUCUGUUAGUCUAUCUUUGACAUCUGAAGUAUUUUGUUGAGUAAUACUAUCUUGAUUAUUGAGUGUUGAUCUAUUGGAAUUGGUCUUUUAUCUUGGAGUCUUGAUUGAGUAUUGUUGGUUUGACUAUUUGGUUGAUGUUCUGAGCAUGAUGUCCUGUUGAUCAUGUUCUGUAUCUGAGUACUUCUUGGUAUAAGUAUUCCCUUUGGAAACGAGCUUGAAUUGAUAUGUUGAGAUCUUGAACUCUUGUGAG